Molecule: long non-coding RNA, 8216 nt
Filed under: Salvia miltiorrhiza (redroot sage)
Lineage: Eukaryota; Viridiplantae; Streptophyta; Magnoliopsida; Lamiales; Lamiaceae
Description: long non-coding RNA (SMIL_LNC007723)
Source: RNAcentral
GAGCUGAGGGCGAAGGCGAGGAAAGCUAGGAACGACAUGGCAAUUGACGCGCUAGCCAUCAAUGUGAACUCAUCUGCCCCCCAGUUUGAUAUCCAGUCGUCCACCCUGGUGGCAGCCGAAGAUGAUGCUGACAUCAGAAGGUACGCGAGAAUCUGAUACACACACAAACAGCUUUCCCUUGAGCUUAGGAAACUCGUGAUUAAAAAUAAACAUAAUAAAUGGAUACAUUCUUAUUAUACAAGCAUCCUCUGGUUUAUAUAGACUUCACUCAAUAAAACAAUGUUCUAGGUUUGUUGUUACUUUCUAAAUAAAUCCUCUAAAUCCAAAUGCGUCCUAUAAGAAUUUGAGUCGACAAAAGUUUAGGAAACAUUAAUCAGAGUGCUAUCAUGUUUAUGGCAAGCACCAUUAAACCAGGUUAAAUUACAAGUAAAUUAAAGAUAGAUACUGAUUAUAUAUCUGAAGAUUCGGUGAAAAUCCUCUUUUCAUUUUUUUUUUCUUUCUUCUUUUUUUGUUCUUAAUAAUGAUUGAGUUGCUUAUACUCAAUCUUUACAACAGAGACACAAGCCAAAUCAUAUGUAUCAGUAUAAAUAGCAUGUAAAUCAGACAUGAUAUGUCACUUGCCUGAUCCAUUGCAAAGUCGAAAUGGUGACGAAGAUGGUGGACGAAGACAUGCUUCCCCUUCCCCAAAUAGAAAGCCAGAUCAAAAGCUUGGAAACCAGAAUACACAAAUCCGAUAACAUUUACAGCUAGACAGUAUCUGUUUGAAACAACAUAGACAUACAAUAUCUAUUAGGUUUAUUAACACAUUAGUUAAAGAAGGAUGCAACAAUUAGUUUAACGCUAUGCUAUAAAAUCCAGCUGCAUCACUUCCUUCUUACAACCCCGAUUACCAGGUAAAUAUCUUUGCGUUCAUCACAAAAUCGUCCUUAAUGUCCAAUUACGAAAAUUAUAGGAAAAGAACUGUGAAGAAUAGGCUUCUUGAUCUACGAAGAAAGAAUCACGCUCUGUAGGAUUUGAACCUACGACAUCGGGUUUUGGAGACUCACGUUCUACUGCACUGAACUAGGAACGCUUUCUUAUCACAGUAGAUACGACUGUAAAGAAAAAAGGAUUCAUAUUGUAGAAUUACUGUUGGGUAAUUUGGCCAACCAAUCUGGUUCAACCAAGACUAUUAAAGCAUUUCGUAGGUCGAAAGUGAUAGAUAUCCAAUUUAUGAGAGCAAAACUAAGGGAAUAUUCUUGUAUUAUUAUGACUCAUCCUGCUCUGAGCAAGCUCACUGCUACAGAGUUUAUAAUGACAUAGCCAGAGCAAGUUAAUAUUUAGCUGAUAAAGCAACUUCUGGAAGUUUUAACAAAUAAUAAGCUAGACCUAAGCCUUUGGAAACAUCAGAAAUCCCGAAUGCUUGUAGUCAACAUGUUGCCACAAUACCACACAUAUUUUCCCAUCUGUUAGUAUCAAAAUGUACUUUGGUGCUUUCUUCUGACAGUCAGAAGCAUAAACUUCAAUGGAGCACCAGAAUUACCAAGAACAUAACAUACGAGGUUACAUAAGUCGAAACUUCAUGCUGGAGCAAGAGGCUACAACGUCUCUUGUUUGCACGACUAUUGUACUUUUCAUUCUGUCAAAUAAGCCCGUGAUUCGAAGGACUGUCAACUAUUAUACCAAUUAACAAAUCUCAUGCAAACGCUAAGGGUAACAGCAGGUUAUAAAGUUGGCAAAAACUUGUGUACAUCCCAAUUAGGGCUCACCAAUCCUCAAUUAAUUAGGGUUUAUUAAUCUCCAAUUGAGGUGUACUGCUUUCUAGUUAUGGUUUAUUAAUCACAAUUAGGAUUUAAUUAGGGCCGAAUGUGCCUCUAAAUCUAAUAUACAGAUUCAUUUAUCUUAACUUACAAUCAACAAUUUGAUUCAAUCUCAAGAAUAAAAAUGUCAGCUUGAGCAACACACACUAGCUGCACAUAGUAAUAAUCCAACAUAACAAUAUUAAUACAUAAUCCACAGAAACAUUGGAAGCAAUCAAGAUAUAUAGGUGAAAAACAAGUAAGAAUUUGAUGGAAACGGUGAAAGAAUCAUACCGGUAUUCGAUAUACCGAUCAAAGGAAUCGCCGCUCCAUCCUUCAGUCUUAUCAGCAGCCAUAACCGAAAAUGAAAUCAAACAAGCAAUCACCUCAAACACUCGAAACGCCAGCGCCACCCUCCUCACCGCCGUAUUCCUCCCCGACCUCUUCAAGAUCGACUCCACCGCCGCCCUCGACCGCCGCUCCCCACCCACCACAUCCCCCCCGUACCCCUCCUCCAACGUCGCACCACCACCAACCGGCCCCACCUUCUUCACGGCCGCAGGCGGCUCCUCCCUCACAAACUUAUUAAGCCCCACAACCGCCGUCGCCGGAAUCUCAAGAUUCUCCGCCGGACGGUUUACUUUCUCCCCCUCCUUUCCGCCUCGCGGCGGAGCGCUCACCGGAAUAUCAAGAUUCUCUGAUGCGGGCUUUUCCGAGUGGGGCCAGCGCCGCCAGCCCUUGCCCACGGCGGCCGGAGAACUCUCCGGAAUGCCGGAUUUCCCCGGAGACGGCACGGGGGAGUAGUACUUGUCCACCAGAACUAUGGCCUUGUCGUUCUUGUCGCCAGGAUCAUCAUUUUCCGGCCGGAAAGUGGGAUCGUCGGAGCGGAGCGGCGACUCGGAACGGAGAGGCGAGUGCCACGAGUCGACCUGACUCGUCAUCGACUCGGUGUCCGACAUGGAUAUGUGGCUGUUACUGUUUCUUCGGAAACUCCGUUUACUAUGAUUGCUGGCGUCCGCGCCUUCCAUUUUUCAAGAAAUUGUGAGCAAACGGAGCUGAAAUUGAAGAAAAAGGAAUAAGUGAAGAAAAAAGAGGAAGUGGAAGGAGCGAAUGGGAUGUGUGUUUAUGCUCUCAAAUGUCGGAAAGGAUUCUAAUUCUGUGCCCAAUGGACCAUGCUAACACCUUGUGGACUCAUUUGUUUUUUAGUUUCAGUUUAACAAUUCAUAUUCGUGAUUUAUACUUUAUCAUUUUGUUUGCUGCUCCUCUCCUUUCUCAAAUAACUUUCUGAGAAGCGCAAAUUUUAUGAUGAAAAUGUGACAAGAUUAAAAAAUAUAAAUAAAAAAUUAGAAAUAAUGAUAGGUAAAAAGUAAAAAUAAAUAAAAUAUUAUUAAUAGUAUGAUAUAAUUCGGAAAAAAAAAUUGAGACGAUCCAAAAAUAAACGUUAAGAAAUUAUUUGAGGGGGGCGAAUAGAAUAUAAUAUUGAUAUUAAAUAUUACUUCGAGUUGGUUAUUCUAUAAAUAACUUAUAAUGUAUGCUUAAUUGAUUUUUUUGGAUACAUGAUUAAUUGAUUACUAUUAUAGUACAUGUGUUAGAUAUUAGUAUAUGACUAGUAUUGACCUUUCGUUCAAAGAAGAUUUGAAAUUUUUGGCUCUCCUAAAGCAGAUACUACAGCCUGUAGUUUUUUUAUUUUAAUAUUAGUAGUACUAGUAUAACUUUUGAUUUGAUGUGGUUUAUAUACACACAGUUUCUUCAAGUGUUUCUUUUGGGGUGGUGUCCACGUGGCAAGUGGUGGUUGGGUUGUUUGAUGGAGUGAUGUGUAGAGUAGCAACUCCUGUAGGAUUCUCCGGGGGGGACAGUUAAAAUUCUUUACGUCGUAAUUGCGUUUACUGAACCUUAAAUAUUUUCUAAAAACAGUCCAACAAGGCCUCAAUUUGUAAUUUGAUUUAAAAUGUGAUAUUUUCCACUACUAGACUAGAGUACGUACGAGUACGACAUAUAAUGUCACAGAUCUUAUUAUUUCAUAUCUAGAUAAAUGGACGCAUUAUUGAAAUUUUGAAUUGACUUAAGGAGUCGUCUAGUAGAAUAUCGUCAAUUAUAAUUAUUAAUUCUAGGUUCCUUUUUUUUUUUCGUCCUUUAAAUGGACAUCAAGCAGUGCGAACUUCUGUCUACGAACAGUGAGGUUUAGGGAUCAAAUCUCACCGCUUCCUCUUCCUCAAAGUAAAAAAAAUAAAAUUCUAGUUUCCUUUUUUCCUUUCAAAAAAUUAUAGGUUCCUUUUUAUUUAUUUUUUAUCCUCAUUAAAACAUAAUUUCGCUUUAGUGAAUUAGCAUGUCUAAUGUAACAUUUUCAGGUAUUAUAUGAACUAAUUAAUUAAUAGUUGAAACGUCUCACUCUCCCUUAAAUCAAUGAGGUAUGUGAUUAAGAUAUCAAGUAUAAAAUUAUACCAGUCAAAAGCAUGAUUUGGCAUAAAAUGGCACGUUAUGUCGUGUAAAAUUUUUAUAUAUAAAAAAGUAUACUAAGUAUGUGUGCAUCUGGUUCUGGUAUAUACUCCCUCCGUCCGUCAAAAGUAUUCCACUUUGGCCGGGCACAGAGUUUAAUAAAAUGUGUGAUGAUGUUGAUGUAGUGGAGAAAUGACCCCACCACUUUAUGAGAUGUGUGGUUGAGAUUGAAUUUGGGGUGGGUUUUUUGUAAAUAAAGAGUGUUUGUAAGGAUAAAAUAUAAAUGUGGAUGGUGGGACCAUGACUUAAAAAAGAAAGUGGAAUACUUUUUACGGACGCCAAAUAUAGUAAUUGUGGAAUACUUUUGGCGGACGGAGGGAGUAUUAAUUAAUGCAAAUAUGCAAUAAUACUUUGUUUUGAAGAAGAGUUUCUAUCCUGCUCAAGUACUAUUUGAGUAACUUAAUAUAAGUAUGUAAUUCUGAAAAAACAAAUUAUUGGACCGCCCACAAUAAGAGAGAAAAGAGACUACUUUGUUGUUCGACCAAUAAAACAAUUACAACCCAAAAAUCUUUAAGGCUAAAGACUGAUUUUUCUUAAUUUGAUUUUGAUCGCAAAAUAUUAUCACCAUCCUAAUAUUUUAUAACCUUGACGCUUUUUCAUGUUGAAAUUAGAUUUUUUUUUUCAAAAGGUCCGAAUUUAUUUUACCAUAUUUUCCGAAUAAAUUCUGUCAAAUACUAUUCUACGGAAUAAAAUUCCAAAAGAAGCUCUAGGGGUAUUUAAUUCCAUCGUAUCUUUAGAGGUAACAUAAAAAGGCUAUGUCCAUAUCCAAUUCCUGCUUUAAGUCAAUUUCACCCAACUCAAAGUAUAUUUUUUUUCCAGAUUUCAGAAUAAGCUACCUUCGUCCCAAAUUAAUUUGCUGAUUAUGGACAAAUGUAGCAGCCCUUUUGGCCAUUCAAAAGCGAGAAAAAAAUUGUGGGAAUUUAAAAUAGUGAAAGUGAGUGAGAAUCACCUUUGUCUGCAUUCCCUUUUUUUUAGGUAAUGUUAUAUGCAAAUUCCUUUGCUUUUUCCCUCUUUAUUCCUGGAUGUUCUUUUCUUGGAUCUUUCAUCCAAUAAUCGACCUUCUCUAGUUCCUUGGGCUAUAUUUGGGUCCAAAAUGAAGACUUUAUAAUUAAAAAAAAUGCUAAUUAUUUUAGUGAUAAUAAUAUUUAAUGUUAAUUUAAUUUAUCAAUAAAAGCUUCAUUUUCAAUGUAUAUAUCACAUUAAUAAUAAUAAUAAUAAUAAUGCUAGAAAUUGAAGAUUAAUUAAUCAUUAGAUAAAAUGAAAUAUAAUAUUUUACUCAAAUUUAAGAGAGGGUUAAAUGUGUGAUGCAAGAAAUAAAAGCAAAUAAUUUAAAUUAUUAAUUAUGUUUCAUAAUUUUUUAGACAAUGUAAUGUAUAACUAUUAUUUUAUAUUAGUCCUUAGUGUCUUGAUAACAAUGUGAUUUAUGAAUAUUCCUAAAUUGAAAAAUGGUCAUUCUAUUCAUAGCCUCAUUUGUACUCUUUAUAGCCUCAUUAAAAAUAAUAAUUUAUACAGUAUAUUAAUUUACCCUCAUAACUCUCAUAUUCAAUUCUUCAUCUUACGGAUUUCGUAGCCCCCCAAAUUCCAUAAUACAUGAAGUCUGCAAAAUUGAUAAAUAUAAAAAACAUUAUAAAACCCAUUGUGCACAGAGAAAGAGAUGAAGACACAUUGAUGAGUUUGAGCAACUGAUUCUGAAUAAACCGAGCACUUCUCCAACAUGAAGACAUAAGAUCAAACUUAUCAGACUGCAAAGGAAAAAAAGAAACUACAACUCCAAAUUUGCCUCUAAUUUCAUUUUAAAGAAAACUGCAGACUCAUAGCAGCAACGAGAAAGAGAGUAACAAUUAUUGAACAUCAAACGACAUCUUCGAAUCUAUCAUCUAUGAGAUGUAAUUUCAUCGUUGUCGCUUCACUCUUCAGACUGUCUCUGACCCACAACUGAAAUAUCCUCAUAUCUUUUCCCAACGUUGAUGUGGUCCCAUAGAGCACGAAUUCCACGGUCCACAGCGCGUUCACCGAGAGUGCGACGCAUACCCUCCCACACGCCGCCGCCCCUCUUCUUAACCGCCGAUUCCAUUUCCAAUCGAUGCUUUUUUACAACAUAAAUUAGGCAGCGGACGAAACUCUUUCCUAAUCUGUCAAGUCUCUACGACGCGAUGAAGGAAAAAUGGAGAAACUCAUCCAAGGCAAAUACAUAUAUAGAUAAAUAUUGCUUUCAGAAAAAUAAAAUGUUUACCAAUCAAAUAAAAAUUGAAUCUUGUUAAAAUUCACAGAGAGAGAGAUGUCGCCUGACUUCCCACCAUUGAUGGAUGAAGAAGCAACUCUGACAAAUUAUGUUAAUUCACAAUUGCAAUUAUUCAACAUGAAAUCAACCCAUAUCAACACAAUUUCAAAGGGUUCGAUUAUCCUCUUAGCGCUUCUUAUUUCGACGAUUUUCCACUUCUUCUUCUUCUUCUUUUCCAGAUUUGAGGUUCGUUCUGGGAAUAUGGGUGGCUAUGGGGUUUAAGGAUUUUUUAGGAAUUUAAUGGUAGAUUAAGGAUAAAAAUAGUAUAUUUCUUUUUUUUCAUAUUUUAAUAUGUUUUAAAAGACUAUAAAGACUAAAAAUGGGGCUAUGAGUCUAUGACUAGUAUUACCCAUUUAAAAAAUAUCUCCUCAUUCAGCUAUUUGUGAAAGAGUGGGUUAACCCAAUACCCCUCAUUCAGCUAUUAGAACAUCCGCAUCAGAAGAAAACAAAAAUUUCAACUAAUUACUUUAAUUUGCAAAACUAUACAGUCCAAUAAAUAUUUGGGUAUUAAAGAAGGCCCAUUUAAUGAAUUUAUGGGCCAGAAUCACCUGUUCGACAGUAAUACUUAUAAUUCCGAAUUGGGCCAGUUUGAUCUUUAGUUUCUACAGAUUUAUGCUGGUUCAUUCUGUUAAUUAUCCAAGAGUUACCAACUUACCACCCAUUUUUUCUUCUUUUCUUCUUUUUUUUACUUCAGGUGACAAACACUAAAAAAAAAAAAAAAAAAAAAAAAAGAUAUUGAAUAUAUUUUUUUGGUACGAGGAACAAAUAAUUUCAAAAAAGUGUGAUGAUGGGCUCAAACACAUAUUAAUGUUUUCUUUAUAUUAAUUGUGGUAAUCUGUAUAAUUGCAUACACAGAUUAAUAUUUUCUUUAUAUUAAUUGUGAUCAUUUGUAUAAUUGCUCCAUUUAUCCAUACAUAUGGACAAGUUGAGAACUUAUACAUUAAAAUGAUUGUUUUAUUGGAUUAGCAUUGUAGACGUAAUAAUAUGCACACAUAUGCAAGUGAUAAAGCUGAUGCAUCCAAAGCUGUGAGAGAUCUUGGGUCUUUUGUGUGAGUAGUGUUUUUAUUUUUGUGUGAAUAGUGUUUUGCCUGCAUGCGGUUGUUUUAUCACCUUUUUGUGAUGUAGAGGUCCCACCUGCAUACGAGUUGCUUAUUUGAUUAUAUAUUAGACAUGCCUCUUAUAAUUCUCAAAAUAAUAUGCACACAUAUGAAUAUAGAAUAAACUUUCGAAGAAAACUUUUGUAUAUAUUUCAUGAAAUUUGUUCGACGUAUGCCGAAAAUCCAUUCAAUGCAACCGACUUUUACUCCUGAGUCUUGACUUGGAAUAUUGAAUAGUGGUCCCAUUCCUUGAUUCCAACAACGUUAGAUUAAUAAUUAAGAAAUCAUAUUCGGUUUUUUCUUUUAUGCAGUUACGUGUAUUUUUAUAAUUUUUUUUUUGAAACAGGAAGGAGGAAAUAUAUUACGGAAAAUCGAAUAUUACAAUAUCAAGAAGCCAAUCCGAAAAAUCGACCUUUCAGAUAAUAACAUCAAAAAAAGCAAAUGAAUAUCGAGCAAGCUCAUAAGCCGCACAGUUAGCCUCAUGACGCAUAUGAAUAAAAUUCAAAACGACAUGAUGGCGAGCAUGAACAAACACAUCCCAUUUAUCGCCUCUGUCAAACAUGU